UUAAGCGACUAAGCGUACACGGUGGAUGCCCUGGCAGUCAGAGGCGAUGAAGGACGUGCUAAUCUGCGAUAAGCGUCGGUAAGGUGAUAUGAACCGUUAUAACCGGCGAUUUCCGAAUGGGGAAACCCAGUGUGUUUCGACACACUAUCAUUAACUGAAUCCAUAGGUUAAUGAGGCGAACCGGGGGAACUGAAACAUCUAAGUACCCCGAGGAAAAGAAAUCAACCGAGAUUCCCCCAGUAGCGGCGAGCGAACGGGGAGCAGCCCAGAGCCUGAAUCAGUGUGUGUGUUAGUGGAAGCGUCUGGAAAGGCGCGCGAUACAGGGUGACAGCCCCGUACACAAAAAUGCACAUGCUGUGAGCUCGAUGAGUAGGGCGGGACACGUGGUAUCCUGUCUGAAUAUGGGGGGACCAUCCUCCAAGGCUAAAUACUCCUGACUGACCGAUAGUGAACCAGUACCGUGAGGGAAAGGCGAAAAGAACCCCGGCGAGGGGAGUGAAAAAGAACCUGAAACCGUGUACGUACAAGCAGUGGGAGCACGCUUAGGCGUGUGACUGCGUACCUUUUGUAUAAUGGGUCAGCGACUUAUAUUCUGUAGCAAGGUUAACCGAAUAGGGGAGCCGAAGGGAAACCGAGUCUUAACUGGGCGUUAAGUUGCAGGGUAUAGACCCGAAACCCGGUGAUCUAGCCAUGGGCAGGUUGAAGGUUGGGUAACACUAACUGGAGGACCGAACCGACUAAUGUUGAAAAAUUAGCGGAUGACUUGUGGCUGGGGGUGAAAGGCCAAUCAAACCGGGAGAUAGCUGGUUCUCCCCGAAAGCUAUUUAGGUAGCGCCUCGUGAAUUCAUCUCCGGGGGUAGAGCACUGUUUCGGCAAGGGGGUCAUCCCGACUUACCAACCCGAUGCAAACUGCGAAUACCGGAGAAUGUUAUCACGGGAGACACACGGCGGGUGCUAACGUCCGUCGUGAAGAGGGAAACAACCCAGACCGCCAGCUAAGGUCCCAAAGUCAUGGUUAAGUGGGAAACGAUGUGGGAAGGCCCAGACAGCCAGGAUGUUGGCUUAGAAGCAGCCAUCAUUUAAAGAAAGCGUAAUAGCUCACUGGUCGAGUCGGCCUGCGCGGAAGAUGUAACGGGGCUAAACCAUGCACCGAAGCUGCGGCAGCGACGCUGAUGCGUUGUUGGGUAGGGGAGCGUUCUGUAAGCCUGCGAAGGUGUGCUGUGAGGCAUGCUGGAGGUAUCAGAAGUGCGAAUGCUGACAUAAGUAACGAUAAAGCGGGUGAAAAGCCCGCUCGCCGGAAGACCAAGGGUUCCUGUCCAACGUUAAUCGGGGCAGGGUGAGUCGACCCCUAAGGCGAGGCCGAAAGGCGUAGUCGAUGGGAAACAGGUUAAUAUUCCUGUACUUGGUGUUACUGCGAAGGGGGGACGGAGAAGGCUAUGUUGGCCGGGCGACGGUUGUCCCGGUUUAAGCGUGUAGGCUGGUUUUCCAGGCAAAUCCGGAAAAUCAAGGCUGAGGCGUGAUGACGAGGCACUACGGUGCUGAAGCAACAAAUGCCCUGCUUCCAGGAAAAGCCUCUAAGCAUCAGGUAACAUCAAAUCGUACCCCAAACCGACACAGGUGGUCAGGUAGAGAAUACCAAGGCGCUUGAGAGAACUCGGGUGAAGGAACUAGGCAAAAUGGUGCCGUAACUUCGGGAGAAGGCACGCUGAUAUGUAGGUGAAGUCCCUUGCGGAUGGAGCUGAAAUCAGUCGAAGAUACCAGCUGGCUGCAACUGUUUAUUAAAAACACAGCACUGUGCAAACACGAAAGUGGACGUAUACGGUGUGACGCCUGCCCGGUGCCGGAAGGUUAAUUGAUGGGGUUAGCGGUAACGCGAAGCUCUUGAUCGAAGCCCCGGUAAACGGCGGCCGUAACUAUAACGGUCCUAAGGUAGCGAAAUUCCUUGUCGGGUAAGUUCCGACCUGCACGAAUGGCGUAAUGAUGGCCAGGCUGUCUCCACCCGAGACUCAGUGAAAUUGAACUCGCUGUGAAGAUGCAGUGUACCCGCGGCAAGACGGAAAGACCCCGUGAACCUUUACUAUAGCUUGACACUGAACAUUGAGCCUUGAUGUGUAGGAUAGGUGGGAGGCUUGGAAGUGUGGACGCCAGUCUGCAUGGAGCCGACCUUGAAAUACCACCCUUUAAUGUUUGAUGUUCUAACGUUGGCCCCUUACCGGGGUUGCGGACAGUGUCUGGUGGGUAGUUUGACUGGGGCGGUCUCCUCCUAAAGAGUAACGGAGGAGCACGAAGGUUGGCUAAUCCUGGUCGGACAUCAGGAGGUUAGUGCAAUGGCAUAAGCCAGCUUGACUGCGAGCGUGACGGCGCGAGCAGGUGCGAAAGCAGGUCAUAGUGAUCCGGUGGUUCUGAAUGGAAGGGCCAUCGCUCAACGGAUAAAAGGUACUCCGGGGAUAACAGGCUGAUACCGCCCAAGAGUUCAUAUCGACGGCGGUGUUUGGCACCUCGAUGUCGGCUCAUCACAUCCUGGGGCUGAAGUAGGUCCCAAGGGUAUGGCUGUUCGCCAUUUAAAGUGGUACGCGAGCUGGGUUUAGAACGUCGUGAGACAGUUCGGUCCCUAUCUGCCGUGGGCGCUGGAGAACUGAGGGGGGCUGCUCCUAGUACGAGAGGACCGGAGUGGACGCAUCACUGGUGUUCGGGUUGUCAUGCCAAUGGCACUGCCCGGUAGCUAAAUGCGGAAGAGAUAAGUGCUGAAAGCAUCUAAGCACGAAACUUGCCCCGAGAUGAGUUCUCCCUGACCCUUUAAGGGUCCUGAAGGAACGUUGAAGACGACGACGUUGAUAGGCCGGGUGUGUAAGCGCAGCGAUGCGUUGAGCUAACCGGUACUAAUGAACCGUGAGGCUUAACCUU
Molecule: ribosomal RNA, 2904 nt
Filed under: human gut metagenome
Description: bacterial LSU rRNA
Rfam family: Bacterial large subunit ribosomal RNA
Source: RNAcentral